CAGUGGGGAAUAUUGCACAAUGGGCGCAAGCCUGAUGCAGCCAUGCCGCGUGUAUGAAGAAGGCCUUCGGGUUGUAAAGUACUUUCAGCAGUGAGGAAGGUGGGUAUGUUAAUAGCAUAUUCAUUUGACGUUAGCUGCAGAAGAAGCACCGGCUAACUCCGUGCCAGCAGCCGCGGUAAUACGGAGGGUGCGAGCGUUAAUCGGAAUUACUGGGCGUAAAGCGCAUGCAGGUGGUUUGUUAAGUCAGAUGUGAAAGCCCGGGGCUCAACCUCGGAAUUGCAUUUGAAACUGGCAAACUAGAGUACUGUAGAGGGGGUAGAAUUUCAGGUGUAGCGGUGAAAUGCGUAGAGAUCUGAAGGAAUACCGGUGGCGAAGGCGGCCCCCUGGACAGAUACUGACACUCAGAUGCGAAAGCGUGGGGAGCAAACAGGAUUAGAUACCCUGGUAG
RNAcentral lists this ribosomal RNA (448 nucleotides) under uncultured bacterium. Its description in RNAcentral is "bacterial SSU rRNA". It matches the Rfam family "Bacterial small subunit ribosomal RNA", at positions 352 to 793 of the family's 1533-position model. The record is from RNAcentral.